UGGCGGAAUGCUUUACACAUGCAAGUCGAACGGCAGCACGGACUUCGGUCUGGUGGCGAGUGGCGAACGGGUGAGUAAUAUAUCGGAACGUAUCCAAUAAUGGGGGAUAACUAAUCGAAAGGUUGGCUAAUACCGCAUACGCCCUACGGGGGAAAGCUAGGGACCUUCGGGCCUGGCGUUAAUGGAGCGGCUGAUAUCUGAUUAGCUAGUAGGUGAGGUAAAGGCUCACCUAGGCGACGAUCAGUAGCUGGUCUGAGAGGACGACCAGCCACACUGGAACUGAGACACGGUCCAGACUCCUACGGGAGGCAGCAGUGGGGAAUUUUGGACAAUGGGCGAAAGCCUGAUCCAGCCAUUCCGCGUGAGUGAAGAAGGCCUUCGGGUUGUAAAGCUCUUUCGCAAGGGAAGAAAACUUAGGCGCUAAUAUCGCUUGAGGUUGACGGUACCUUGAUAAGAAGCACCGGCUAACUACGUGCCAGCAGCCGCGGUAAUACGUAGGGUGCGAGCGUUAAUCGGAAUUACUGGGCGUAAAGCGUGCGCAGGCGGUUUUGUAAGUCAGAUGUGAAAUCCCCGAGCUCAACUUGGGAACUGCGUUUGAAACUAUAAGACUAGAAUAUGUCAGAGGGGGGUAGAAUUCCACGUGUAGCAGUGAAAUGCGUAGAGAUGUGGAGGAAUACCAAUGGCGAAGGCAGCCCCCUGGGAUAAUAUUGACGCUCAUGCACGAAAGCGUGGGGAGCAAACAGGAUUAGAUACCCUGGUAGUCCACGCCCUAAACGAUGUCUACUAGUUGUUGGUGGAGUAAAAUCCAUGAGUAACGCAGCUAACGCGUGAAGUAGACCGCCUGGGGAGUACGGUCGCAAGAUUA
This 865-nucleotide ribosomal RNA is filed under the name uncultured bacterium. Its description in RNAcentral is "bacterial SSU rRNA". It matches the Rfam family "Bacterial small subunit ribosomal RNA", at positions 37 to 896 of the family's 1533-position model. The record is from RNAcentral.